Molecule: ribosomal RNA, 180 nt
Filed under: uncultured soil bacterium
Lineage: Bacteria
Description: partial 16S ribosomal RNA
Rfam family: Bacterial small subunit ribosomal RNA
Source: RNAcentral
AGAACGAACGCUGGCGGCAUGCCUAAUACAUGCAAGUCGAACGAACUCUUCGGAGUUAGUGGCGCACGGGUGCGUAACGCGUGGGAAUCUGCCCCUUGGUUCGGAAUAACAGUUGGAAACGACUGCUAAUACCGGAUGAUGACGAAAGUCCAAAGAUUUAUACGCCAAGGGAUGAGCCCG